Molecule: ribosomal RNA, 424 nt
Filed under: uncultured bacterium
Lineage: Bacteria
Description: bacterial SSU rRNA
Rfam family: Bacterial small subunit ribosomal RNA
Source: RNAcentral
GGAAUCUUCCACAAUGGACGAAAGUCUGAUGGAGCAACGCCGCGUGAGUGAAGAAGGAUUUCGGUUCGUAAAACUCUGUUGCAAGGGAAGAACAAGUAGCGUAGUAACUGGCGCUACCUUGACGGUACCUUGUUAGAAAGCCACGGCUAACUACGUGCCAGCAGCCGCGGUAAUACGUAGGUGGCAAGCGUUGUCCGGAAUUAUUGGGCGUAAAGCGCGCGCAGGUGGUUCCUUAAGUCUGAUGUGAAAGCCCCCGGCUCAACCGGGGAGGGUCAUUGGAAACUGGGGAACUUGAGUGCAGAAGAGGAUAGUGGAAUUCCAAGUGUAGCGGUGAAAUGCGUAGAGAUUUGGAGGAACACCAGUGGCGAAGGCGACUGUCUGGUCUGUAACUGACACUGAGGCGCGAAAGCGUGGGGAGCAAACA